AGUGAACGCUGGCGGUAGGCCUAACACAUGCAAGUCGAACGGCAGCACAGUAAGAGCUUGCUCUUACGGGUGGCGAGUGGCGGACGGGUGAGGAAUACAUCGGAAUCUACUUUUUCGUGGGGGAUAACGUAGGGAAACUUACGCUAAUACCGCAUACGACCUACGGGUGAAAGCAGGGGAUCUUCGGACCUUGCGCGAUUGAAUUAGCCGAUGUCGGAUUAGCUAGUUGGCGGGGUAAAGGCCCACCAAGGCGACGAUACGUAGCUGGUCUGAGAGGAUGAUCAGCCACACUGGAACUGAGACACGGUCCAGACUCCUACGGGAGGCAGCAGUGGGGAAUAUUCGACAAUGGGCGAAAGCCUGAUCCAGCCAUACCGCGUGGGUGAAGAAGGCCUUCGGGUUGUAAAGCCCUUUUGUUGGGAAAGAAAAGCAGCAGGUUAAUACCCCGCUGUUCUGACGGUACCCAAAGAAUAAGCACCGGCUAACUUCGUG
This 492-nucleotide ribosomal RNA is filed under the name uncultured bacterium. Its description in RNAcentral is "partial 16S ribosomal RNA". It matches the Rfam family "Bacterial small subunit ribosomal RNA", at positions 29 to 507 of the family's 1533-position model. The record is from RNAcentral.